Molecule: ribosomal RNA, 494 nt
Filed under: uncultured bacterium
Lineage: Bacteria
Description: partial 16S ribosomal RNA
Rfam family: Bacterial small subunit ribosomal RNA
Source: RNAcentral
GACGAACGCUGGCGGCGUGCUUAACACAUGCAAGUCGAACGGAAAGGCCUGCUUUCCCUUGUGGAUUGCGGGUACUCGAGUGGCGAACGGGUGAGUAACACGUGAGUGAUCUGCCCCCAACUUGGGUAUAAGCCUGGGAAACUGGGUCUAAUUCCCGAUAGGACUGCAGGGUGGUGCCUGUGGUGGAAAACGAUUUUCUAGUGGUUGGGGAUGAGCUCGCGGCCUAUCAGCUUGGUGGUGGGGUAAUGGCCUAACAAGGCGGGGACGGGGAGCCGGCCUGGGAGGGUGGACGGGGGCAUUGGGACGGGGGUACGGCCCAGACGGGGGCGGGAGGCGGGAGUGGGGGGGAGUGGACAGUGGGCGGAAGCCUGAGGCAGCGAGGCGGCGUGGGGGAUGGCGGCCUUGGGGUGGUAAACUCCUUUCGAAGGCGAGGAAGCCACCUGGUUGGAAGGGUGGUGACGGUAGUGGUAGAAGAAGCACCGGCUAACUACGUG